AACGAACGUUAGCGGCGCGCUUAACACAUGCAAGUCGAGCGAGAAAGGGGCUUCGGCCCCCGGUAAAGCGGCGCACGGGUGAGUAACACGUAGGUAAUUUGCCCUUGGGUGGUGGAUAACCUUCCGAAAGGAGGGCUAAUACAGCAUAAGACCACGGUUCCGAAAGGGAUUGAGGUCAAAGCCGGCCUCUCUACAGAAGCUGGUGCCUGAGGAUGAGCCUGCGGCCCAUCAGGUAGUUGGUAGGGUAAUGGCCUACCAAGCCGAAGACGGGUAGCUGGUCUGAGAGGAUGAUCAGCCACACUGGAACUGAGACACGGUCCAGACUCCUACGGGAGGCAGCAGUGGGGAAUCUUGCGCAAUGGGCGAAAGCCUGACGCAGCGACGCCGCGUGAGUGAUGAAGGCCUUCGGGUUGUAAAGCUCUGUGGAGGGGGACGAAUAAGGGUUGGCUAAUAUCCAGCUCGAUGACGGUACCCCUUUAGCAAGCACCGGCUAACUCUGUGCCAGCCGCCGCAGUAAGAC
RNAcentral lists this ribosomal RNA (520 nucleotides) under uncultured bacterium. RNAcentral's name for it is "bacterial SSU rRNA". It matches the Rfam family "Bacterial small subunit ribosomal RNA", at positions 29 to 526 of the family's 1533-position model. The record is from RNAcentral.